RNAcentral lists this ribosomal RNA (484 nucleotides) under uncultured bacterium. RNAcentral's name for it is "partial 16S ribosomal RNA". It matches the Rfam family "Bacterial small subunit ribosomal RNA", at positions 30 to 507 of the family's 1533-position model. The record is from RNAcentral.
AUUGAACGCUGGCGGCAGGCCUAACACAUGCAAGUCGAGCGGAUGAAGGGAGCUUGCUCCUGGAUUCAGCGGCGGACGGGUGAGUAAUGCCUAGGAAUCUGCCUGGUAGUGGGGGAUAACGUCCGGAAACGGGCGCUAAUACCGCAUGCGUCCUGAGGGAGAAAGUGGGGGAUCUUCGGACCUCACGCUAUCAGAUGAGCCUAGGUCGGAUUAGCUAGUUGGUGGGGUAAAGGCCUACCAAGACGACGAUCCGUAACUGGUCUGAGAGGAUGAUCAGUCACACUGGAACUGAGACACGGUCCAGACUCCUACGGGAGGCAGCAGUGGGGAAUAUUGGACAAUGGGCGAAAGCCUGAUCCAGCCAUGCCGCGUGUGUGAAGAAGGUCUUCGGAUUGUAAAGCACUUUAAGUUGGGAGGAAGGGCAGUAAGUUAAUACCUUGCUGUUUUGACGUUACCAACAGAAUAAGCACCGGCUAACUUCGUG